GAUGAACGCUGGCGGCGUGCUUAACACAUGCAAGUCGAACGGUGAAGCCAAGCUUGCUUGGUGGAUCAGUGGCGAACGGGUGAGUAACACGUGAGCAACCUGCCCUGGACUCUGGGAUAAGCGCUGGAAACGGCGUCUAAUACUGGAUAUGAGACGUGAUCGCAUGGUCAACGUUUGGAAAGAUUUUUCGGUCUGGGAUGGGCUCGCGGCCUAUCAGCUUGUUGGUGAGGUAAUGGCUCACCAAGGCGUCGACGGGUAGCCGGCCUGAGAGGGUGACCGGCCACACUGGGACUGAGACACGGCCCAGACUCCUACGGGAGGCAGCAGUGGGGAAUAUUGCACAAUGGGCGGAAGCCUGAUGCAGCAACGCCGCGUGAGGGAUGACGGCCUUCGGGUUGUAAACCUCUUUUAGCAGGGAAGAAGCGAAAGUGACGGUACCUGCAGAAAAAGCGCCGGCUAACUACGUGCCAGCAGCUGCGGUAAUACGUAGGGCGCAAGCGUUAUCCGGAAUUAUUGGGCGUAAAGAGCUCGUAGGCGGUUUGUCGCGUCUGCUGUGAAAUCCCGAGGCUCAACCUCGGGCCUGCAGUGGGUACGGGCAGACUAGAGUGCGGUAGGGGAGAUUGGAAUUCCUGGUGUAGCGGUGGAAUGCGCAGAUAUCAGGAGGAACACCGAUGGCGAAGGCAGAUCUCUGGGCCGUAACUGACGCUGAGGAGCGAAAGGGUGGGGAGCAAACAGGCUUAGAUACCCUGGUAGUCCACCCCGUAAACGUUGGGAACUAGUUGUGGGGACCAUUCCACGGUUUCCGUGACGCAGCUAACGCAUUAAGUUCCCCGCCUGGGGAGUACGGCCGCAAGGCUAAAACUCAAAGGAAUUGACGGGGACCCGCACAAGCGGCGGAGCAUGCGGAUUAAUUCGAUGCAACGCGAAGAACCUUACCAAGGCUUGACAUACACCAGAACGGGCCAGAAAUGGUCAACUCUUUGGACACUGGUGAACAGGUGGUGCAUGGUUGUCGUCAGCUCGUGUCGUGAGAUGUUGGGUUAAGUCCCGCAACGAGCGCAACCCUCGUUCUAUGUUGCCAGCACGUAAUGGUGGGAACU
RNAcentral lists this ribosomal RNA (1100 nucleotides) under uncultured bacterium. RNAcentral's name for it is "bacterial SSU rRNA". It matches the Rfam family "Bacterial small subunit ribosomal RNA", at positions 28 to 1139 of the family's 1533-position model. The record is from RNAcentral.